GGCCUCGUAGCUCAGUUGGCUAGAGCGUUGGCUGUUCUAAAGCCUUCCCCUUGCUGGCGUGCGUUCGAAUCCUACAGAGGCCA
This is a non-coding RNA of Schistocephalus solidus, 83 nucleotides long. The record is from Rfam. NCBI's taxonomy places the organism in Eukaryota, Metazoa, Platyhelminthes, Cestoda, Diphyllobothriidea, Diphyllobothriidae.